AAAUUGAAGAGUUUGAUCAUGGCUCAGAUUGAACGCUGGCGGCAGGCCUAACACAUGCAAGUCGAACGGUAGCACAGAGAGCUUGCUCUCGGGUGACGAGUGGCGGACGGGUGAGUAAUGUCUGGGAAACUGCCUGAUGGAGGGGGAUAACUACUGGAAACGGUGGCUAAUACCGCAUAACGUCGCAAGACCAAAGAGGGGGACCUUCGGGCCUCUUGCCAUCAGAUGUGCCCAGAUGGGAUUAGCUUGUUGGUGAGGUAACGGCUCACCAAGGCGACGAUCCCUAGCUGGUCUGAGAGGAUGACCAGCCACACUGGAACUGAGACACGGUCCAGACUCCUACGGGAGGCAGCAGUGGGGAAUAUUGCACAAUGGGCGCAAGCCUGAUGCAGCCAUGCCGCGUGUAUGAAGAAGGCCUUCGGGUUGUAAAGUACUUUCAGCGGGGAGGAAGGUGUUGUGGUUAAUAA
Molecule: ribosomal RNA, 467 nt
Filed under: Salmonella enterica subsp. enterica serovar Infantis
Lineage: Bacteria; Pseudomonadati; Pseudomonadota; Gammaproteobacteria; Enterobacterales; Enterobacteriaceae
Also listed under: 1 other name
Description: bacterial SSU rRNA
Rfam family: Bacterial small subunit ribosomal RNA
Source: RNAcentral